ACGCUCGACACCUACGGAAGGCAGCAGUGGGGAAUAUUGCACAAUGGGGGAAACCCUGAUGCAGCGACGCCGCGUGAGCGAAGAAGUAUUUCGGUAUGUAAAGCUCUAUCAGCAGGGAAGAAACUGACGGUACCUGACUAAGAAGCACCGGCUAAAUACGUGCCAGCAGCCGUGGUAAUCUGAGCGGGCUGGCAAGGC
This 198-nucleotide ribosomal RNA is filed under the name uncultured bacterium. Its description in RNAcentral is "partial 16S ribosomal RNA". It matches the Rfam family "Bacterial small subunit ribosomal RNA", at positions 326 to 539 of the family's 1533-position model. The record is from RNAcentral.